GGGGCUGGGGUUCAGUGGUUGAGCUCUUGCCUUGCAUGCAUGAGGCACUGGGUUCGAUCCUCAGCAGCACAU
This 72-nucleotide transfer RNA is filed under the name Ictidomys tridecemlineatus (thirteen-lined ground squirrel). RNAcentral's name for it is "Spermophilus tridecemlineatus (thirteen-lined ground squirrel) tRNA". It matches the Rfam family "tRNA". Rfam says of the family: Transfer RNA (tRNA) molecules are approximately 80 nucleotides in length. Their secondary structure includes four short double-helical elements and three loops (D, anti-codon, and T loops). The record is from Rfam by way of RNAcentral. Lineage: Eukaryota; Metazoa; Chordata; Mammalia; Rodentia; Sciuridae.